Long non-coding RNA from Ailuropoda melanoleuca (giant panda), 1114 nucleotides. RefSeq lists it as uncharacterized. Lineage: Eukaryota; Metazoa; Chordata; Mammalia; Carnivora; Ursidae. The record is from RefSeq and is a predicted model, not a curated record. The transcript is spliced from 3 exons.
CCCACUGCCUGGAUCGUGCACCCAUCCAGGCGUGGGCCCCGGAGCCCCUCUCGCCGCGCAUUUUGCGGAGCCCGGCCGGUCGGACCACCCUGCGCCCGGGCCCACGCUGCACCCAGCGGUGGCAGCGGGCGCGGGAGCCGGGGCUGGGAGGGCGCCGCCGGGUGCCCGCCUCCGCCAGUGCUCGCUGGGCGCGGGCGGCCCCGUGGCCUCCGACGCGAGCCGCGGCUGAAGGCGGGCGGAGCAGGCGGGAAGAAACCUCAGAGGAGGGUUACGAGUGAACUUUCCCAACAUUCAUUAUGGGAUCGUCCGCCCUUUUGAGGGCUUUGCAGCAUCUCCCUGGCAAGGCCAGGCCCAGCGUGUUACAGCUCCCAUAGAGAAGCCCACAACUUUCCAGGAUUAGCAGGAGCAAGAAGUCUUUAUGCUUUGGUUUUUGAGUGUCUAGUUGACUGGCAAACUGAGCUUUGUCCGGGAGGAACUCGGUGAGGACAGUGGAGUUCUGAGGCCCCUGGGCUUCCUGUGGUCAUCUGGCUACCUGGUUCCACAUGCAGCUGAAACAGGGUAACAGGAAAUUAAAGCCGGAAAACAGAGGUGAAGGAGGAAUGACUCUGACUCCUCUCUUGAGCCUUGUCGCUGUGAAGAAAUCAGUGUUUUCCUUCAAGUCUAUUAGGGAAGGCUGAAUGCAACCAUGUCUUUCUGGCCCGGUGAUGACUUUGUGCUAACCGAGACACAAAUGGAUUUCUUUGAUCCCCAAUUUUAAAAUCCCAGAGUUGCAAAUGCAACACAUAACGUAGUCGCCGUUGCUUUGAGAAAGGGGGGGUGAUCCACAGCAAGACUAGAGCAGAAGCCAGAACAGGUUGGGCCCUUCGUGAAUUCCCUGCUAAGAGCCCCCAUCCCUCACCACCACCCCUGGGAAGAGGGCCUCCGAUUUCUCACAAGAUAGAUCCAGUAAUGUGACUACCAGGGAACUGGGCGGAUCAAAAGGUACUCGGACCCCAUCAUGCCUGCUCCUCUGGCAUCACGUUCCUGCCAUUCUGCAUGGCUCCUUCCCCAUCGGCUGCUGUAGGCUGUCCUGCCUUUAGACAAAGAGUAGUUCCAUCUUCACAUCUACAUCUCA